RNAcentral lists this ribosomal RNA (238 nucleotides) under uncultured bacterium. Its description in RNAcentral is "partial 16S ribosomal RNA". It matches the Rfam family "Bacterial small subunit ribosomal RNA", at positions 470 to 706 of the family's 1533-position model. The record is from RNAcentral.
UGACGGUNCCCGAAGAAUAAGCACCGGCUAAUUACGUGCCACCAGCCCGCGGUUAUAAGUAGGGCGCNAGCGUUAAUNGGAAUUUCUGGGCGUAAAGCGUGCGCAGGCGGUUUUGUAAUCCAGAUGUGAAAUCCCCGGGCUCAACCUGGGAAUGGCGUUUGGGACUGCAAGGCUAGANUAUGGCAGAGGAGACUGGAAUUCCUGGUGUAGCGGUGAAAUGCGUAGAUAUCAGGAGGGA